Molecule: transfer RNA, 72 nt
Filed under: Dallia pectoralis (Alaska blackfish)
Lineage: Eukaryota; Metazoa; Chordata; Actinopteri; Esociformes; Umbridae
Description: tRNA-Thr
Source: RNAcentral
GAGUUGGUAUCUCAGUGGUAGAGUGCCUGCUCUGUAUGUAUGAUAUCCUGGGAUCAAUCCCCAGGUCGCUGU